UACGUAGGGACCGAGCGUUGUCCGGAAUCAUUGGGCGUAAAGAGCGUGUAGGCGGCCACUUAAGUCCUGCGUGAAAUCUUGCGGCUCAACCGCAAGCGGUCGUGGGAAACUGGGUGGCUAGAGUGCGGGAGAGGAGAGUGGAAUUCCUGGUGUAGCGGUGGAAUGCGCAGAUAUCAGGAAGAACACCCGUGGCGAAGGCGGCUCUCUGGAACGCAACUGGCGCUGAGACGCGAAAGCGUGGGGAGCAAACAGG
Molecule: ribosomal RNA, 253 nt
Filed under: uncultured bacterium
Lineage: Bacteria
Description: partial 16S ribosomal RNA
Rfam family: Bacterial small subunit ribosomal RNA
Source: RNAcentral